Long non-coding RNA from Orcinus orca (killer whale), 11825 nucleotides. RefSeq lists it as uncharacterized. Lineage: Eukaryota; Metazoa; Chordata; Mammalia; Artiodactyla; Delphinidae. The transcript is spliced from 2 exons. The record is from RefSeq and is a predicted model, not a curated record.
ACCCCCUGAAAGACAGAAGAGGAAAACGAUAGAAGGAAACAUGCCCACAUGAAGAGGCUGUAGCAGACACAGUUUAUCACAACACCAAUGUAACAAGAGCAAGCAAAGUGUAAAACUAUGUGCCUCGAGGAGACAAAGCAGGGAGGAAAGCCCAGAAACGCACGGAGGGCUGAGAGGCUCCCGCCUCUGGGGGGCGAUGUGUUAAAGCCCCAUCAUACGGCACCGGCAGGGGGUGGGGGCAGAAUCUAGAAAUGGGAAAAGGAGUAAAGAGAUUGUGACAAAUAUUCAGUGUGGGAUUGUGGAUUUGAGGUACCAGCAAAAUAAGCAGGCAGGCCUGAGUAGAAUAGUCAUCGGAACAAAUUUUGCAUGAACAAUGAAAAAUAGUUGUAUUAGGUCAAAGGGGAGGUCUGAGUGACACCCAGAAGUAUAGGCAGGGCAGCACUCCCACUUCUGGGAACCCACAGGCUGUGGUGUAUAAAAAUUCAUAGCAUUUAACAUGCUGCGUUCCAUCAGACCGUAAAGCUAGUAUGGUUUCCCUUUCACCAGAAUAUUUUUUUCCAAGGGUGCCUACUAGAUAUUUCAGAUUCUUUAGCCUCAUGGCCUCUUCUUUCAAUGGAGACGUAUCAUUAACAAAAGAAAGGGUCAUGUGAUUGUUUUUUCCAGUGUGGAGUAAACAGAUACCUUAUCCUUUUCAGCAUAAGCCUCUGUACCAACGUCAUAGCACCAAGGACUCCAUCAAAAUUACAAUCUGUUCAACUCACUGCAGGGUAAGUGCGACUGGUAUUGAAAUCAUACUGCAGCCUCAGGCCAAGAGGAAUUAGAUGUUCUUAUUCUCUUUUAAAGCAUUUACAAAACAUCCAAAAGGUCUGAAAACUUACACAAUAGAUUUUGAUAGGGAUGAAAUCAUCUCUUAUGCAUGCCCCUCUUCUAAGAAAUUGGUUAAUCAUCAUGAUAACUAAGAGCCUCUGCACAGCUAGGUAUAGAAUACAAAGGCAAGGUGCCCUGGGCAUUUUAUGCUUAAGUCUGGAAAAAAAAGUCACCACCACCACAAACCCCACCAUCUCCACUGAGACACAACACACUCCACUCCACUGAGAUUUCAGCAAAUAUUGUCUUAAGGUCACAAUGUCUUUUUUCAUUCUUCAAGAUUAUAGUAUCUUAAACAUACUUUCUGUGUAUAUUACAUCAUAAUUCUAAUUAGAGUCAUGAUGACUAGAAAGUUCUUGAGAAAUAAUCUGAUUCAUUCUUUGCCUUUGGGGAGGAUUAAAAUCCUCACAGACUUUUUUAAAGUGAGUGUGAACCAGCUUACACUGUUGUUAUAAUGUCUUUGGUCUGGAAUAAUACACGGAUGUCUACCAAAACACCAGGAGAUAGGUUAAAAGAAAUAAACCUUAUGGUAAUAUUAGUAGGUAACAAAUGGUCAACAGUUGUAGCCAGUGAAAGUCAGUCUCCUAUUGAGGGAUGUAUUUCUAUCCCCCUUGCACAGUAUGUGGGAUGUGUGGCCCUACUCUCUCUUGUCCACAAGAUGGCAUCAUUCUCCCACAUUCUGAGACAUUUAAACUAGUUUAACAAGUGAUUACUGUAGCUACCAUACUCGAUAUACUGAGAGUUCACAAACAUACACAACAGUAGCCUUAUUCCAAAGGCACUGGACUAAUUUAUAUUGCAUUUUAGGAAGUGAUCUUGGCGGUUUCAAGCGAAGCCCUAAGGAGGAGGCUCCUGAAGUCCCACAGUCCUUUUCAGAGUCGAAGACUAGAAAGCCAGGAAUCCUUACUCCUGGUCAACCGCCAGGGUAGCAAGUGGGGGAAAAUCCCAUAUCCUUGGCGCUUCCAGAAUGUAAGCGCUCUGAAGCCAAGCAGGGCGUAAUGCCUUCUGCUGACUCACAGGGCACCAGGAUUAAAAAAAUCAGGAGCAAACAGUCAAGCCCAUAAAAUCAAGGAGUUAAAAUGAGUACGUACAAUAGAAGUGUGAGCAUCUCUCACAAAAUCUUACAGCACUCAGCUUUUAAAUGUGCAUUGUGGCGGGAGUGAUAGGAGGGAGAUGGGCAAUUUUCCAUUUUACAACGUGUGACAAUUAGGAAAUGGACUGUGUUGUACACAGGGUGGUUAUCUCUUCACGCUUCAACCUAGUCUGUGGGGUCCUCCAAAAUGGAAACAAACCAAGAGUGAUCUGUGUUGAUAAUGAUGGGGCUUAUAAGUUUAUUUCUAUAACAAGUAGGUUAAGGAAAAAGGGGAGGGUAACACAGACACUUGCUUUUUCUAUUACUGUAUAAAAAUCAAGUAUAGAUAUAAAGAUUCUAUCUUGGAUCAGUGCUAGAUUUACCUCCCAUUUGGUUCCUAGACAGGUUCUAUCAGAACUAAGAAAUAGUUUCAUGAAAAACCUUCUAACUUAUUUCUGAAAAUGCUCCAGGAAUCAUGAAGUAGCAUCUACUUGAAGAGAGAUGCUACUAUAGACCCUUGUCUAAUCCAGAAAGCUCACCCUGCAUUUGAAGCAUCCUUCUUGAUACAUCCAAAUCUGAUCAUCAGCACCGACAUCCUCCAUGGCCUGUAUUCUGAGAAGCUUCAGAUCCUCUAAGUUUCCAUUGGUUGACAUGAAUAACCCUGUUGCUUUGUUUCGAAGUCUGAAAUAAAUUCGUUUCUAGAAGACAAAACCCCAGCAAUAGUCAUAUACAAGCUGUACUUCAGAAGCACUGAACAAGUAUCAGUAGCAGGGGCAGGAUCCCAGAUGAGGCUGGAUACGGGAAAACUGCUGCAUCUGAGAGUUUCAGAGGCUUUAGGAUUUUCUCGAUGAGGAGAGGUUGACAGAAUUCCAAAGUGCCUGGGGCUGGGAGCCUGCCUAUGGACAACCCAGGGCUUGGGACAUACCAGGUUUUUUGUUUGUUUGUUUGUUUUGUUUAUUUUACAGUAUGCGGGCAUCUCACUGUUGUGGCCUCUCCCAUUGUGGAGCACAGGCUCGGGACGCGCAGGCUCAGCGGCCAUGGCUCACGGGCCCAGCCGCUCCGCGGCAUGUGGGAUCUUCCCGGACUGGGGCACGAACCCGUGUCCCCUGCAUCGGCAGGCGGACUCUCAACCACGGCGCCACCAGGGAAGCCCCAUACCAGGUUUUGAUGUCAGGUGUAAUAACAUUUCUGAAAGCAGUCACAACCUUCUGGCACCAGAGACACAGCCGAAAUUCAGAAAUUCUCGGGGGUGGGGUGGGGGAGAAGCCAAUUUCACACUUAAAAUUGAAACUAAAAAGUUAAUUACAUUUACAAAAAAGAUUUCAGAGAAGAGUCUAUUCAAAGCAUGUAAAAGAAGAAAGUACCUGAACAAAAGGUCGUAGAGAACCUAUUUGGUGACAGCCACUGAAUUCAUACCAAUUAGGUACUUCUGCUGGUGACAAUAGGAACUGUCGACCCCUGUAAUUGCCAUAUUCAUAAGUAACCCAUCUGGAAAACAAAAAGAGAUAACCACAGUAAGUAGCAAUAUCCAUUUCACAGUGGGCACCAAUUAUAUUUUCAGAACACUUUGAUUUUUAGACUGAGCUUUUUAUUUUUAAUUUAUUUUUGGCUGCGUUGGGUCUUCAUUGCUGUACUUGGGCUUUCUCUAGUUGCGGUGAGUGGGGGCUACUCUUCAUUGCGGUGCACGGACUUCUCAUUGUGGUGGCUUCUCUUGUUGCAGCAUGCGGGCUUCAGCAGUUGUGGCUCAUGGGCUGUAGAGCGCAGGCUCAGUAGUUGUGGCACAUGGGCUUAGUUGCUCCAUGGCACGUGGGAUCUUCCUGGACCAGGGCUCAAACCCGUGUCCCCUGCAUUGGCAGGCGGAUUCUUAACCACUGCGCCACCAGGGAAGUACCUAGACCGAGCUUUUUAUACUUUAAAUAUACGUUGGAGGAUAAAAAAAGGAAACUACCUUAUUAUCAGAAACAGCUACAGCACCCAUGUCUUGACAAAUAGCAAAUUCAUGGUACAUGAGUAUUUAUGCCCAAAAGUUCCACUCUUGAAGAGAAAUAGGUAAGUUUUUUCUUCAAUAAGGUAAUAACUAGAGAUAGUCUUUUAGCAGGACAGCCCAGUACUUCCUGUGAACUUUACAUAAAACAUCUUCAGUUGUAGUAACAGACCUUUAUUUAAAUGGUUAAUACUUGUAAAGUUCUUACACAGGGUGCUAUAUAAGGGUUAGAUAAAAAUAAAUAAUAAAGUUUUAUUUAAAAUGAGAGUAAUCUUCCUCAAUCCAGAAAACUACUAAAGAUGCUCAGGUCUCUUCCACACAGAGAUGCUGGUACCCACACCUGAAGUCUGGGUUCCAGCGCAGACCAGCAUGCAAGCAACACAGCAAUCUUUCUCUCUGGUUGAUGUAUUACAUCAAGGUUCUCUGUUUUUAACCCUGCAACUCUAAAAUGUUAUCAUCGUAGUCAUUUUAUCAUAAAAACAAAAUAUUAGUUUAAACCUGUUGGAAAAAAAAGUCAUGCAUAAAAUUCUAUCAAUCACCCUAAUAAUCCGAAUUUGUUUUUUAAAUAGCUAGAGUCCUCUCCACCAUUUGAUGCCUUCAAACUAUACCUGCUGUUCUGGUGAGUGAAAGAAAAAUACUUUUGUAAAAACACAUUACAUUGAUAGUCCUUAUUCAUUUUUACAUCUUAAUUUCAAAAUUAUUCAAAGUUGAGAAAAAUCUUCCCAUGUUGACAUUAAGUCAUUUUGCCUAUAACAUCUGCUAGUCACUCCUAGCUGAAGGAAAAUCCCAACCCUUACUCCAAAAUCAAAGGACUUGGUCUUUCAAAAGGAUAAGCAAAAUCAGUUAUCUUUCCUACUUGCUAAGGAAGUGCUCAAUUUAUUGCAAAGCAUUCGCCUAGGAACUUUGAGAGUCCUUAUCUUAAGUAAACUAAAAAUCUGGAUGAAGAGAUGAUGUCCCACACAUGGCUCUUCCCAAUAGGAAAAGUAUACUGUGAGGGAACAUAAAUAUUAACCCUUACAGAAAAAAAGGGGUUAUACGUCAAUUUGGUUAAGGUAACAGAGAAGAGAAAUAUGAUCAAACUUAAUUUUUAAAAUCUAUUUUAUUGAAUAAACAAGUAGGUAACUCACUUACAUGCCACCAAUCACCUGAACAGAGCGUAUGCGCGUGUUGAAUCCUAGGGAUUGGAGAUUAACUAUUUCUGUACUAAAUUCAAUCUUUUUUCCUUUGAAGUCUUCUCUUUCAAAAAGAAUAAUUGUUGGUUCAGACAAUUCCUGUUUAGGAACAAAAAUAAUAUUCUGUUACUCAUCCUUGAUACUAAUUCGAACUUAACAUGAAAAUCACCUUGUUACAAGGACAAAGCAGAAGAUCUGGCUGGACUUGGCCUGCUCAUAAACUCCCUUUUCCAGCAACGUCUGGGUGGUUAUAUACUCCAAAGCUAAAGCAAGGAAGGAUGGAGGGCAGAAAGUUUUUCCCUUAGUAGAAAGGCAGGUAAAUAUAAAGUAUUAUAAAACGGGGCAAAUAUCCCAGGCAUAAAGGAACAGGUAUAUAUGCCUGGAAUAUCAAUUCUAAUGGACUUUAUUUUCAACUUUUCUGUUUUCUAUUGAGAUAAGAAGGGGCUGGAAAGUCAAAGACAUAAAUGGCGAGGGUCGGGGGCUGUGGUGAUCUUUGGGGGUCUAGUGGUAAUCUGCCUAAUAAAGGAAGCUUCCCCUUGUAUGCAUUUUCAGAUGUCUUUUUUUUGUUGCUUUUAACUGUCAAUAAGACAAUGAUUCUGUGUAUUCCCAAACUUUCCUGUAGGAAUAAUUGUUAGGAGAGAAAAAAUAGGAUGGAAGCCCCAAGUUCAAGUCCACUGAUUUUCAGAAAAAUGAGAAGUUGGCAGCUUAUGCUUGUUUUUCAGAUUACAGACCCUUAUGACCCUAGACUAAGCUCUGAUGAUGAUAAUCCUAAAAUCAUAAAUGAUACAUGAAAAAUUCCCUAACUUGCUUAAAGUUUUGUGACACCUUACUGCUUCAUUUAUGUGGAUGUGCUCUGAUGUGUAGAAAGAUCUUGACCAAUAAACAGAGCAGAUCAGUGUGUAGACGUGUUCUAUAUGGUCUAGAAAUUAGGUUAUAUAAACCAUACAAGAAGGAAAUGACAGAAACUGUAGUAGUAUUGCUACUUUGCACGUUCACUGCACUUUUCUGAGAUGGCAUGCUAAAACGUUCCAAGCACUCUAAUCUAGCGACAACAACCAAACGAUUUUGAAGUACUAAGUCACAAUUAAAAUAUACAUUCUGAAUAUGGGUAAAAUAUUCAUUUCAUCAUAAUCAAAACUUAAAAGAACAUCAUCUGUAAAUGUCAAAAGUGAUGUGAGCAUAUAUGCUAAGUUCUGCUUGAAGGAAGGCAUUUGAAAGCUUUAAAUCUAAAGUGGGUUUGUUUUUUUUUUAAAUACUUGUAGGUUGCUUUUAGAAUUCUAAGCAGGUUAAAUAUCAAAUUUUUAGAUAUUUUAUUAUUUGUAAGCUAAUGAAUCUUACCACAUCAUUUUAUGUUUCACUGCUACUAUUUUCACAUCUCAAGGAAGGUCAACAUUUUCGUUAUUUGAACGGGCAGGAGGGGAUGAGAAAAAGCCAACUCACAUAUGUUCCUUCUACCUUUAAAGCUAAAAUCACCAACUACAUAUGUUUAAAGCUACCAAAAACUAACAAAUACUUCCCAAACUGUCAGAUACACCCAGACUUUAACAUCUGAACAUUAUCUUGCAGUAUUGUUCUAUCGAAUAUUGCUUUGUCUGCAUUAAUAUUAAAGAUCUCUGGUCAAAAAGGAGCACUAUAAUCUGGAUUGGCACAUACAUGAGAAACUGAGAAAAGUCAUUUCAUUGCAAAUCUCUAAAACAACAGAGGAAUAGAUUUAAAAACUAUAAGGAAUUUCUGCAAAUCAAUAACAACAAUGACGGGAAACUAAAGAGCUGGGCAAAGGAUAUAAAUAGGCAAUUCACUGAACAGAAAACCUAAAUGACUAGUACGUAUAUGAGAUCUCACCAACAGUGAAAUGCAAACUAACACAACUUCUACCCCAUUCUUUCAAACUGACAAAAGUUAGAAUGUCAGAGAAUACUCAAUAAUGGCCAUGAUGCUGAAAACGAAUCCACAUGCACUGCCAGCAACAGUGUAAAGUGGUGGAAUUUGGCAGUACUUACUGAAGGUUGCAUAUUCACGCAUGUGAGAUCCAGUAAAUCCACUCUUUGUUUUUGGCUGCACUGGGUCUUCGUUGCUGCCCACAGGCUUUCUCUAGUUGCGGCAAGCGGGGGCCACUCUUCAUUGUGGUGGGCGGGUUUCUCAUUGCGGUGUCUUCUCUUGUUGCAGAGCACAGGCUCUAGGUGCGCGGGCUCUAGAGCACAGGCUUAGGAGUUGUGGCGCACGGGCUUAGUUGCUCUGCGGCAUGUGGGAUCUUCCCGGACCAGGGCUCGAACCCGUGUCCCCUGCACUGGCAGGCAGAUUCUUAACCACUGUGCCACCAGGGAAGUCCCAAUCCACUUUUUAAUACGUAUCCCCAAAAGAUCACAGGGUAAUCCAUUAUGCUGUAUGUACAUCUAGUUAAUGAUUCCAUAUUGUAAACACAUAUUACAUCAUGGGCACCCAUUAGAAUCAAUAACUAGAUGUACAUACAGCAUAACGGAUGGCUCCCAAAAAAUUUCAUGUAAGGAGAGAUGAGAACUAUAGCAUAAUACUGUAUAUAAAUUAAAAGGCUGUAUACAUAUUUUUAAAAACAUGUAUUUUACAGGAAUAUCCAAGCUGUACUCCAAACACAUUAGAAUGGGUACCUCUAAAGGUAGAGGUAUAGAAAUAGGGCUCAGGGGGACUUCCCUGGUGGUCCAGUGGUAAAGAAUCUGCCUUACAAUGCCGGGGACACGGGUUCAAUCCCUGGUCGGGGAACUAAGAUCCCACAUGGCGCGGGGCAGCUAAGCCAGCGCCCUGAAACUACUGAGCUCGGGCGCCUCGAUGAGAGAGCCCGAGUGCCGCAAACUACAGAGCCCAUGCGCCCUGGAGCCUGCACGCCACAACAAAAGAUCCCGCAUGCCUCAACAAAGAUCCUGCAACUAAGACCCGAUGCAGCCAUAAAUAAAUAAAUUAAUUAAUAAUAAAUAAAUAAAUCUUAAAAAAAGAAAUAGGGCUCAGGUGUGAAACGGAAAAAAACAAGACGGAAGGGCCUUGAACUAGCCCAUGAUUGUGCACUGUGCACCAUGACUGACCCAACACUGCCCCUGAAGUCUGAGAAAACAGCAAACAGUUUACAUUUUAAAGAUCUGGAAAGAGACCAGGGUAGAAAGUUGUCCACGAAACUAUUUUUUCUGCCUCCAACUCUGUCCUGAGUAAGCCUGCCUGCUGGUUCCCUUGCUCUGUCUGUCAGCUGUGUGACCAUACAUCUCUGUAACGCUAUAUUCACCCUGAGAUACUUACGACAUCUAUAAAACGAACAGACUUGAAAGUUGCUUCAGGCAGACAUCCCAUUGCAGACAGCGAAGGAUAGUGGCCUUCCUCCAACACGUACUGAUUACCCGAGAAAUUUUCUCCGUCAUAUGCAACCCAGCUAUAGAGGAAAAACCACACACACACACGUAUAAAGUGUAAUUUGAGUCUUCCUAGUCAAGGAGUCUGAAUUUAGAGGUAGCUGCCAUACAAUAAACACAACGCUUAUGGCUAACAGUGUUCUCUCUGCAAAAAUGUCUGGAUAUGUUUACUGCAUUUCAUCUUGUGGCAACCUAAUAUUCGUAAGUCAUUUGGGAAAUACAACUUUUUUCUCCAUGAAAUGAUUAAUGCUUUCACCUCUCCACCUACCAGCAUUCCUUGCACCUCUCAUGGUGCCACCAUUCUCCCAGCCAAGGUGGUUCUGUCAAGCCCUUGAGUCUUCGAGUCUUUUCUGAACACUCCUUCAACCUUCAGAGCUAGUCAGUCACCUGGGUCUACUGCUUCCUCCCCAGAUUUCUCCCUCACCCCUUUAUCCUCAUUUCCAACACCUCUGCACUGGGCCGGGAGUCAAGAUACCACAGUGACUUAGACAAGUCACUUAGUCUCUCUAGCACUCAGCAUUACUGACAAAAUGGUGACUUAUCAUGCUUCCCUAGAGGAGGUGGGGGUCUUUUUGUUUUGUUUUUGUUUAACCCAACACAUACUUAUUGAGGAAUAACUGUGUGUCAGGUAUUUUUCCAUUGCUGGGGAUAUAACAAGACAAAGUCCCUGGUAUCUUGAAGUUUAUACCCUAGUGAGCUGAGACAGACAAUAAAUGAAUAACAAAAAAGUACAUGCCUGGUAGUAAUAAAUGAAGCAGCAUAUGGGACAAAGAAAAACUAGGACAGAGGUGCAGGUAUGUGCUAAUAAACAGUGAAGCUUUAUAUAAAUCUAUGCAUUUGAAUGCAAAGCCGGUGCUCUUUCCACUUUGCAUUGCCAAAUGGCAUGAUGGUGCUGUUUAGCCCAUGAAGAACUAUACGAUUAAAGGCAUUACUACUACUACUACUGCUACUACUACUUCUUAUUAUUCAACUUAAUUCAUCACCUUUUGCACAGAUUGCUCCAAGGGUUUCCUGAUCCGUUUCCCUGACUUUGAGCUCCUUGCCUUGCCCAUCUUGUGUUUUCCUUUGGCAUCCAUCCAAAUUCAUAUGCUCAGAAGAGUCAUCACCUGAGCCCACCCUCCCUGUCCAAACUCACUUCCCCUCCCCCCUGUACAAAGCCCUCCCAGCUAGAGAGGGUGGUGUGCCCCUCAUCAGCAUCUCCACCCCAACCAUGCACUUGCCUAUCAUGCAGAAUGCCUGCCCUACUCCUACCCACCUGUAAAAAAAAAUCUAUCUUGGGAGGUCCUUAGAGAUGAUCUAAAGUCCCUUUACAGAUGACGGGAGAGGCCUAGAGAGCAGAGAACCUGGUCUGAGUCCCAUUGCACAACGAGGUGGUGAUCUUCAACUUCUCCCACCCACACUGAUGUCCAUGUACUCUGCCGCCCAGCACUCAGUGCUCUAAGUCCACUUCAGUACUCACAUGGUCUUGUACUAUGUGGUGGUCUCAUAAGGUACCAGGCUCCUACAAGUGUAUUUACUUGCUGAUACGUGAAUCCUGUUUUCCCCCACGGGUUGGGCUCUGCCAGUCCACUGUUUUGCUUACCUGCCUCCUAAAACUCUGCAAGACUUGGCAGAAAAUGACUCAUCAAUUUGACUUGUUGUUUCUUCAAAACACUGACUGCGACCUUGAAACUGUGGUUCCGAAAACAAGUGAAUCUUUGAAAAAGUAAACAGAAAUACAUAAAAUUCUUUUCCUAAACACAUUAACUCAUUCAGCCUCUGAAAUGAUAACCAGACAUGACCUGCUAACUUUUGUUACUGUAAACUGGUAUGAAUUUUAUAAAACCUUUAAUUUUUUACUUCUACAUUAAUGAUCAAUUAGAAAUACUUUGGCUGCACCAAUCGUGAUUGUUUAAUUUCAUUCAGAGACAUCAAAGGAUAGUCCAACAAUAGAGGCAGCUUUCUACAGAACACCCUCUUGUAACAAGCUGCCAGGCAUUUUAAAGCUUUACUGUGGCCAAAAGUAAUUGUUCACAGUUCUAACAUUUACAAGAAACUAUAUUUUGGAAACAUGUAGUGCAGUUUUCCUCCCUCUCAAUGGAAGCUACCUGCUGACUUAUUAGACUCUUUUGUAUGCCAAUAAAGGAGGCUACAGUGGUGUUUGUGCCUCUGUAAUUAUGGCUCUCUGAACACUUCCAUUAAAAAGUCUUUAACAAAUUUAACACUUCAGUUGAUACAGAGAGUCAGCAUUCAAAAGGCUUAAGUGAGACACCAUAUAAAAGACACUAUAUAAAAAGCCUAAUGCAGACACAGCAAAUACGAAAAUUCAUUUUACUGUUUUCCACAAUAACUCUACGCUAUUGUUUGAAAUACUAGUCCUAGUGUAUUAAUGUAAAACUCUGAUCCACUGUAAUGAUAUAAAAAUUUAACUUUACAUAAGAACAUUUUAUAAGAAAUAUUUAGAUAUGGGUCAGUGCUAUCAAUUAAGCCUUACUGUAAACUUAAUUUUAAAAUACAGUUAUGCUUUCAGGCACAAAAAUGGGUAAAACUAACAAUAUGUUCCCAAAUGUAUGAUGUUUUACACAUAAAUUCAGCUUUUUAACAGAAGGUUUCUAAUUAUGAAUGAUAGAAUGUUAAGUUACCUGAUUUUGUCUCCCUGGUCUGGUGAAAGAAUCCUAAGAAUUUUUAAAGAGAAGAGAAAAGGAAGUGAGUGGGGCAGACAUCUUGCAAAUUGUUCUGUGGGUCAUUGACAAUUACCAUUAAAAAUCAUCUCAGGAUAGUUUCUAUAGUUAAGUAUUACAUGAACCAGAAGCACACAUUAAGGGAAUCCAAAAUUCAGUUAAAUAUUCUCAGAGAAAAAUGUAACUCCUUACCAAACAUAUGGGUUGAACAGAAGAGAUCUUACAAUUUUUGCCUCCCCAGUCCUCAAAGCUGGUAUAAAAGCCUUUAUCCAGUAUAUACUGUUCUCCUGUGAAGUCAGGAUUUUCAUAGGCCACCCAUCUAAGGAAACAAAAAACACUGACUUGUUAUAGUUCAUAGUUUACAUUCACAAUAAAACUAUCACACCCAGGGCUUCCCUGGUGGCGCAGUGGUUGAGAAUCUAUCUGCCUGCCAAUGCAGGGGACACGGGUUCGAGCCCUGGUCUGGGAAGAUCCCACAUGCCGCGGAGCAACUGGGCCCGUGAGCCACAACUACUGAGCCUGCGCGUCUGGAGCCUGUGCUCCACAGAGAACAAGAGAGGCAGCGAUAGUGAGAGGCCCGCACACGGCAAUGAAGAGUGGCCCCAGCUUGCCACAACUAGAGAAAGCCCUCGCACAGAAACGAAGACCCAACACAGCCAUAAAUAAAUAAAUUAAUUUUAAAAAAUUAAAAAAAAAAAA